Molecule: transfer RNA, 77 nt
Filed under: Candidatus Comamonas equi
Lineage: Bacteria; Pseudomonadati; Pseudomonadota; Betaproteobacteria; Burkholderiales; Comamonadaceae
Description: tRNA-Arg
Rfam family: tRNA
About the family: Transfer RNA (tRNA) molecules are approximately 80 nucleotides in length. Their secondary structure includes four short double-helical elements and three loops (D, anti-codon, and T loops).
Source: RNAcentral
GCGGCUGUAGCCCAGCUGGAUAGAGUACUUGGCUACGCACCAAGGGGUCGUGGGUUCGAUUCCUGCCAGCCGCACCA